CCCUUAGAUGUUCUGGGCCGCACGCGUGCUACACUGAUGCAUUCAACGAGUCUAAAACCUGGUCUGAUAGGGCUGGGUAAUCUUUUGAAAGUGCAUCGUGAUUGGGAUAGAUGAUUGCAAUUCUUCAUCUUCAACGAGGAAUGCCUAGUAAACGCAAGUCAUCAGCUUGCAUUGAUUACGUCCCUGCCCUUUGUACACACCGCCCGUCGCUCCUACCGAUUGAAUGAUCCGAUGAAUACCAUGGAUUGAGAGUACGAAUAGGUUCGCUUAUUUCUGCUGCUCAAGAAGUGGAGUAAAUCUUAUCAUUUAGAGGAAGGAGAAGUCGUAACA
This 330-nucleotide ribosomal RNA is filed under the name uncultured eukaryote. RNAcentral's name for it is "partial 18S ribosomal RNA". It matches the Rfam family "Eukaryotic small subunit ribosomal RNA", at positions 1470 to 1796 of the family's 1831-position model. The record is from RNAcentral.